UAUUAAGUGGCUGAAUUAUAAGUAUUGGUCUCUUAAACCAAAUAAUGGUAACUAAUAAAUACCCUUAAUAA
This 71-nucleotide transfer RNA is filed under the name Helotrephes sp. NKMT027. RNAcentral's name for it is "tRNA-Lys". Lineage: Eukaryota; Metazoa; Arthropoda; Insecta; Hemiptera; Helotrephidae. RNAcentral also lists the same sequence under 1 other name. The record is from RNAcentral.